AACGGUGGCGAGCUGUCCCCACAGUGACCACGACCGGUCUCCUGCCCGGUGUUGGGAGCGGGAGAGGAGCUGAGCCCAGCCCCUCACCCGCACCCCGCCCAAUCUCCAGGAGUCCAAGGAGAAAACCCCCAAGUAAGAGAAUAGCCAACUGCACCCUUCCCUCACCUUGACCAUUUCUUCUGUCUCUCCUAAGUACUGGUCAUUGUUGUCUCUAAGCAACGGAUGGGACAAAAUUCCAUGAGGGAAACAAAAGGAAAAAUCUUAACCCCCAGCACUGGGCUGGAAGUACCAUUCAGAAGCCAACUUCUGCCCAGAUCUCUCUGGCCACACCCCUGAAGUCCCUGGCACAGGCAGCUCUGAGUCUCAAGGGACAUUGACAUGGUUGAAAGAGCUGCGGCCUGGGGCAGGGCACUCCUCAUGAAGCCCUUCAGAAAGAGGUUGGAUGAAACAAUGACCUUUGGAAAAGGUCGGGUACAUUUGGUGGCAAUGGAAUUACACUGUUUCUCAUCUAUCGAUGUUACAAUUUUUUUCACUUUAUGACUGUUAUUUGUCUUAGCAUAAGAAUGUUUCUUGGAUGUAGUGUGAUGCAUUUGGAUACCUUUAGAAUCAGGAGGAACAGCUGAAGCACCACAAGUGAUCUGAGUUUUCCAGCUUGUGAGUAUUUGGUUGUGUAGCCUGAGCUGACUGAUGCUUCUGAAGAUGAGACCACGGUGUAAGUGCCUAAGCUUGAACUUAUGACUGGCUCUUGCUGAAGGGGUCACUAGUGAGAGUUUCUCCUGUCACAGCUGGGAGGAGAAGCCUUAACUCUUCCAAUGAGCGCUUCAGCCACUAAGAGCUUCCCAUUCACUGUCUUCUGAUUAGUUCCAAACUUGAGUUUAAAGCUAGUCAUCAGUUAAUAUAAGAGAUAACAGAGUAAGUGCUUCUCAGAUGUUCAAAAUGUUGGGGCUUUUUUUCAGGUUGUAGUUUCUCUGUACCAGCUUCUGUUGGCUCGUAAGGGGACUGUAGCAAAACAAACUGACUUGAAUUAAUAUUUUUUAAUCAGUGAAAUUAAGCUGAGGGCCAACUGGAAGACUUUGGUUCUACUGGAAUAACAUCUCUGAUUAGCUUGAGGCUAAAUUACUAAUUCCAGUGAGGGAUUUUGAAGUUUUCAUUUGGCUUAAUGUGCAAAACCCUUAAAUAUUCUGUCAUAUUUAGCAGUCUGAAAUACCAGGACCCUGUGAAUCUGUGUCUAAAAGCUAAACCCCACAAAAAUAAUGCUAAAGUUUUUGCUUUAAUAUUCUAAAUUAAACAGAUAUUGCAUUUAGUGACAUUUUCAAAAUCUUUAUGGAGUGAUAGUGUAUUAUUUGAAUAUUUUUAAUGUGACAAAUUAAGAUUUCAAUGUGAUUCAGUACACACAAACUUAUAGCAUUGACACCAAUUAACUCUUAAACAAAAGCUUUAGUGUUUUCUGGAUAUUGUACUCUAAUGAUGGCAGCUUGGUGAGAUGCUAUUUCAUGCUUGGUGUUUAGACAUAUAUCUAGUGAAAUGAAUAUAAAUUGAGUUCUAGCUCUUGAUUAGUAAUCUAUACAGCUGUUAGCUUGAACUCUAAAAUCUGGGGCUUUACAAUUCAGGAGGGGGAAAAAUGGACAAGUUCAGCAAUGAGAAGAGGCAUUGGUGAGCUAAAUUAAAUGGCUGAUGAUAAUUGCGAUAGCUUACAAAGAAUGAUGCUAUGUUAUUUACAAAAGCUCCUUUUCGCAUGGAAUCUGAUGUCUUCUCCCAUGAGCUUGCUUAUAAUUCAUAUUCUACUUUAAUAUGCCUGCAAAAUGUGCUUUCUUUCUGUAUACGUAUUAUUUUUAGGAUGUUAUGUUUCCUUGGUGCAUACACAAUGAGCCUGAAAUCCUGUAGGAAUGUGUUUAAUUUGAAA
Non-coding RNA from Taeniopygia guttata (zebra finch), 1903 nucleotides. The record is from RefSeq and is a predicted model, not a curated record. Lineage: Eukaryota; Metazoa; Chordata; Aves; Passeriformes; Estrildidae.